GGCCUCGUAGCUCAGUUGGCUAGAACACCGGCUGUACUAUAGCCUUCCCCUUGCUGGCGUGGGUUCAAAUCUCACCAAGGCCA
Molecule: transfer RNA, 83 nt
Filed under: Schistocephalus solidus
Lineage: Eukaryota; Metazoa; Platyhelminthes; Cestoda; Diphyllobothriidea; Diphyllobothriidae
Rfam family: tRNA
About the family: Transfer RNA (tRNA) molecules are approximately 80 nucleotides in length. Their secondary structure includes four short double-helical elements and three loops (D, anti-codon, and T loops).
Source: Rfam by way of RNAcentral